Molecule: long non-coding RNA, 479 nt
Organism: Arachis stenosperma
Lineage: Eukaryota; Viridiplantae; Streptophyta; Magnoliopsida; Fabales; Fabaceae
Exons: 3
Source: RefSeq, a predicted model, not a curated record
GCAUCUCCUUCUUCCCAUUUCUGCAAUAGUCACGUUAAAAUGAAAGAGUGAGAGAGGGGAAGACGGUUUCAUAAAAAAAAACUAACCUUUAAAGUGGGAUAACUUUUGCUCUAGUGGUUGAAAUUGCAUGCUGUUUGUGGCCACGCGUCAGGGGUUUACUAGCUUUGACUCUUUGUGGAUAUUGCUCAAGGAUCAGUGGGUGAAGAUGCAGGUCGAGAGGCACUUCGCUAGGCGUCUGGAGUUCUACCGCGAAGUGGUUUCAUUUUGGGGCUUAUUUCUGAUAUUUUGAUAUGUAUAUGUAUUAGACUCUCCUCUUGUAUAUAUUACUGCUUUACUUUGUACCUCUUAGAGGUUUAUGGAGAACAGGCUUAUAUGUAUGUAUUUUUUUUUGGGAUUCGGGCUAUGUAUAUACGUAUGUAAAUAUUCUCGGCCAGCCUUAGCUUCGCAGGCUGAGUUAGGAACUUGUUAUUUUGUACUUU